Molecule: ribosomal RNA, 461 nt
Filed under: uncultured Thiobacillus sp.
Lineage: Bacteria; Pseudomonadati; Pseudomonadota; Betaproteobacteria; Nitrosomonadales; Thiobacillaceae
Description: bacterial SSU rRNA
Rfam family: Bacterial small subunit ribosomal RNA
Source: RNAcentral
GACGGGACCGCACAAGCGGUGGAUGAUGUGGAUUAAUUCGAUGCAACGCGAAAACCUUACCUACCUUGACAAGUCCGGAAUCCUGCAGAGAUGCGGGAGUGCCGAAAGGGAAUCGGAACACAGGUGCUGCAUGGCUGUCGUCAGCUCGUGUCGUGAGAUGUUGGGUUAAGUCCCGCAACGAGCGCAACCCUUAUCAUUAGUUGCUACGCAAGGGCACUCUAAUGAGACUGCCGGUGACAAACCGGAGGAAGGUGGGGAUGACGUCAAGUCCUCAUGGCCCUUAUGGGUAGGGCUUCACACGUCAUACAAUGGUCGGUACAGAGGGUUGCCAAGCCGCGAGGUGGAGCCAAUCCCAGAAAGCCGAUCGUAGUCCGGAUUGUUCUCUGCAACUCGAGAGCAUGAAGUCGGAAUCGCUAGUAAUCGCGGAUCAGCAUGUCGCGGUGAAUACGUUCCCGGGUCUU